This 71-nucleotide transfer RNA is filed under the name Camelus bactrianus (Bactrian camel). It matches the Rfam family "tRNA". Rfam says of the family: Transfer RNA (tRNA) molecules are approximately 80 nucleotides in length. Lineage: Eukaryota; Metazoa; Chordata; Mammalia; Artiodactyla; Camelidae. The record is from Rfam by way of RNAcentral. RNAcentral also lists the same sequence under 2 other names.
GAGGGCAUAGCUCAGUGGUAGAGUGCGUUCUUAGUAUGCACAGGUCCUGGGUUCAAUCCCCAGUACUUCCA